RNAcentral lists this ribosomal RNA (703 nucleotides) under Campeiostachys dahurica var. excelsa. RNAcentral describes it as "eukaryotic LSU rRNA". The stretch from base 270 to 425 matches the Rfam family "5.8S ribosomal RNA". The record is from RNAcentral. Lineage: Eukaryota; Viridiplantae; Streptophyta; Magnoliopsida; Poales; Poaceae.
UCGUAACAAGGUUUCCGUAGGUGAACCUGCGGAAGGAUCAUUGUCGUGACCCUGACCAAAACAGACCGCGCACGCGUCAUCCAAUCCGUCGGUGACGGCAUCGUCCGUCGCUCGGCCAAUGCCUCGACCACCUCCCCUCCUCGGAGUGGGUGGGGGCUCGGGGUAAAAGAACCCACGGCGCCGAAGGCGUCAAGGAACACUGUGCCUAACCCGGGGGCAUGGCUAGCUUGCUAGCCAUCCCUCGCGUUGCAAAGCUAUUUAAUCCACACGACUCUCGGCAACGGAUAUCUCGGCUCUCGCAUCGAUGAAGAACGUAGCGAAAUGCGAUACCUGGUGUGAAUUGCAGAAUCCCGCGAACCAUCGAGUCUUUGAACGCAAGUUGCGCCCGAGGCCACUCGGCCGAGGGCACGCCUGCCUGGGCGUCACGCCAAAACACGCUCCCAACACCCCUCAUCGGGAAUCGGGAUGCGGCAUCUGGUCCCUCGUCUCGCAAGGGGCGGUGGACCGAAGAUCGGGCUGCCGGCGUACCGCGCCGGACACAGCGCAUGGUGGGCGUCCUCGCUUUAUCAACGCAGUGCAUCCGACGCGCAGCCGGCAUGAUGGCCUCAAAACGACCCAGCAAACGAAGCGCACGUCGCUUCGACCGCGACCCCAGGUCAGGCGGGACUACCCGCUGAGUUUAAGCAUAUCAAUAAGCGGAGGA